RNAcentral lists this ribosomal RNA (329 nucleotides) under uncultured eukaryote. Its description in RNAcentral is "partial 18S ribosomal RNA". It matches the Rfam family "Eukaryotic small subunit ribosomal RNA", at positions 1470 to 1796 of the family's 1831-position model. The record is from RNAcentral.
CCCUUAGAUGUUCUGGGCCGCACGCGCGCUACACUGACGAUGGCAACGAGUUUUUCCUUCGCCGAAAGGUGUGGGUAAUCUUUUGAAACAUCGUCGUGCUGGGGAUAGAUCAUUGCAAUUUUUGAUCUUGAACGAGGAAUUCCUAGUAAGCGCGAGUCAUCAGCUCGCGUUGAUUACGUCCCUGCCCUUUGUACACACCGCCCGUCGCUACUACCGAUUGAAUGGUUUAGUGAGGAAUCCUGAUUGGCGCCGCCGCCCCGGCAACGGAGCAGCGGACUGCCGAAAAGUUGUUCAAACUUGAUCAUUUAGAGGAAGUAAAAGUCGUAACA